GCAUAGGUUCACAGGUUCCUCCUACUGUGGCCCCUGCUGAUCUUUAUCCUCUCUCUUUCCAUCUCUCUCUCUUUCUCUCCAUCUCUCUCUCUUCCCCUCCUCCCUCUCUCUCUUCCAUCUCUCCUUCCCUCUCUCCAUCUCUCUCUCUUCCCCUCCUCCCUUUCUCUCUCUUCCUCUCUCUCUCUUCUCUUCUUCCCUUUUCUCUCUCUUCUAUCUCUCCUUCUCUCUCUCCAUCUCUCUCUCUUUCCCUGCUCCCUUUCUCUCUCUCUCUCCAUCUCUUUCCCUCCCUUUCUCUCUCUCUCCAUCUCUUUCUCUCUUCUCUCUUUCCCUCCCUUUCUCUCUCUCUCUCCAUCUUUUUCUCUCUUCUAUCUUUCCCUCCCUCUCUCUCUCUCCAUCUUUUUCUCUCUUCUAUCUUUCCCUCCCUUUCUCUCUCUCCAUCUCUUUUUCUCUCUUCUAUCUCUCCUUCCCUCUCUCCAUCUCUCUCUCUUUCCCUGCUCUGUUUCUCUCUCUCUCUCCAUCUCUUUCUCUUUCCCUCCCUUUCUCUUUCUCUCCAUCUCUUUCUCUCUUCUCUCUUUCCCUCCCUUUCUCUCUCUCUAUCUUUUUCUCUCUUCUAUCUUUCCCUCCCUUUCUCUCUCUCCAUCUCUUUUUCUCUCUUCUAUCUCUCCUUCCCUCUCUCCAUCUCUCUCUUCUCCUCCUCCCUUUCUCUCUCUAUCUCUUUCUCUCUCCCUUUCUCUCCAUCUUUCUCUCUCCAUCUCUUUUUCUCUUCUUCUGUCUCUCCCUCCAUCUCUCUCUCUUUUUCUCUUUCCCUUCCACCCUCUUUCUUUCUCCUCCCCCUCCCCACACGUACACAUACACUCAUCCCUCCAACUACCAGGGCACUUUCUCCUGAUGGUCCUGGGAGAGAAGGCAGCCUUGGGGUCUAGGGUACUUGUUCCAAGGGCAAAAGAGUCUGUACCCAGGGAAGGAGGGAACCCUAGGGGCAAUAAAGAGGAAUGAAGAGGGAGGGAAGCCAGAAGGAGGAUAUGAGCACAUAAAUAUGCAUGCAUGCAUCCACACGCGUCCAUGGGGACCUGCAUGCUCAUAAAUGUGUGAGGCAUGGAAUGUUGUGAAAGGAAAUGAUUUUGUGGCUAUGGAGAAGCAGGGCAAAGUUCACAAGCCCAGAAAUUCUUCAUCCAGCUCGGACCCUGUGACUUCCAUGGAACUCCAGGGACAGGAUGGGAACUUCCCCUAUCUUAUCUGGAACUGAGCUAAAUGUAGCCUCUGGGCUGACUUGCUGAGCCUAGGGGAUGCAUGAUGAGUAUGGAAAUAUGUUUAGAAGAAUUGUACAUGUUUAACCUAUAUUGGAUUGCUUGUUAUCUGGAGGGAGUGGGGAGAGAAGGGAGAAAAAGUUGGAACACAAGGUUUUGCAAAGGAAAGGCCCCACAUAGAAAGCACGUAUGAAAUGAAUGGUGAAAAAAAAAAAAAAAAAGAAAGAAAGAAAUGAAUGGUGAAGGCAAGGAGGGACCCUGAGAGGAUGAUUCAGAUUCACCCAUUGAGUCAACUCUUUGAGUCCAGUCUUCCAACCAGACAAUGGCGACAGAAUCCCACCAGAGCUCUCCUUCUCUUCCUUACCUGUAUGGCCCCUCCCUUGACCUGUUAGCUCAGGUGGAGCUUAGGCCAUGAGAUAUCAGUCACUGACCCAGCAAGAAAUAUAGACGAAAUCCUCAGAAGGGGCAGGAAGAAACUCUUUUUAGAAGGAGGUUUGUACACGACAUUCCGAUGGAUGAUACUCUAACCCAAGGCUUCUUAACAUUUUUUAUGUCCUGGACCUCUUUGGAAGUCAGUUUGUUAAAACCUAUGAACUCCUUCUCAGAAUAAAAUUUUUCAAUGCAUAAAAUAAAAGUGCAAGGGCAGCUAGAUGGCAAAUGGAGAGAGUACCAGCCCUGGAGUCAGGAGGACCUGAGUUUGAAUGCAGCCUCAGAUAUAUCACUUACUAGUUGUGUGACCCUGGGCAAGUCACUUAAGCCCAAAAGCCUGGUCAAAAUAAUAAAGUCAAGGGCAUCCAGUUGGUGCAGUGGACAGAGCACCAGCCCUGAAGUCAGGAGGACCAGAGUUCAAAUUGCACUCAAAUACUUAGCACUUCUGGCUGUGACCCUGGGCAAGUCACUUAACUCCCAUUGCCUCAGCAAAAAAUAAAGUAAAAAUGUAAAGGAUCACAAAAGAAACUAGUUAUAUUAAAAUGCAACUCUCUCUCUCUCUCUCUCACACACACACACACAAACACACACACACACAUACAUACAUACACAGACAUAUACACAUCUGCAUCCAGAGAGAGAACUAUGGAGACUAAAUGUAGAUUGAAGCAUACUAUUUUUACUUUUUUUGUUGUUUGCUUUUUCUUUCAUGUGCUUUUCCCUUUUGUUCUGAUUUUUCUUUCACAAAAUGACUAAUAUGGAAAUAUUUUUAAAAUGAUUGUUCAUGUAUAACCUACAUUGGAUUGCUUGCUGUCUUGGGGAAGGAGGGAGGGGAAAAAAACAAUUUGCAAAUCAAAAUCUUUUGGGAAUGAAAGUUGAAACCUAUCUUUGUUUGUAAUUGGAAAAAUAAAAUAUAUUUUUUAUUUUUAAUAUAUAUUUUUA
Molecule: long non-coding RNA, 2618 nt
Organism: Antechinus flavipes (yellow-footed antechinus)
Lineage: Eukaryota; Metazoa; Chordata; Mammalia; Dasyuromorphia; Dasyuridae
Exons: 4
Source: RefSeq, a predicted model, not a curated record